CUACGGGUCGCACCAGUGGGGAAUCUUGCACAAUGGAGGAAACUCUGAUGCAGCGAUGCCGCGUGAGUGAAGAAGGCCCUUGGGUUGUAAAGCUCUUUUGUCGGGAAAGAUAAUGACUGUACCCGAAGAAUAAGGUCCGGCUAACUUCGUGCCAGCAGCCGCGGUAAUACGAAGGGACCUAGCGUAAUUCGGAAUUACUGGGCGUAAAGCGCGCGUAGGCGGUUAAGUAAGUUAAUUGUGAAAGCCCAAAGCUCAACUUUGGAAUUGCAAUUAAAACUACUUAGCUAGAGUUUAUCAGAGGAAAGCGGAAUACAUAGUGUAGAGGUGAAAUUCGUAGAUAGUAUGUAGAACACCAGUUGCGAAGGCGGCUUUCUGGGAUAACACUGACGCUGAGGUGCGAAAGUAUGGGUAGCGAAGAGGAUUAGAUACCCCAGUAGUC
This 439-nucleotide ribosomal RNA is filed under the name uncultured bacterium. Its description in RNAcentral is "partial 16S ribosomal RNA". It matches the Rfam family "Bacterial small subunit ribosomal RNA", at positions 339 to 795 of the family's 1533-position model. The record is from RNAcentral.